Amphiprion ocellaris (clown anemonefish) is the source of this 7687-nucleotide long non-coding RNA. NCBI's taxonomy places the organism in Eukaryota, Metazoa, Chordata, Actinopteri, Pomacentridae. The record is from Ensembl.
AUCACUUCCCUUGAAGAGGAUUUUGACCUUGUAUCUGUCUUUUAGUCAUGACCUGGGUUGGAAAUUAGGGUCAUUAUUCUUUAUUUUUGUCUUCUUGUCUUGAUAUUUCUGAGUGUUUUUCCCCUCUAAACAUCCCUUGAGUGUGCUAAACCUGAUUUCUUCAUUUAAGAUACCAUAAACUGAUAUUGUUGUUGUUGGAGUGAAUCUUUAUUUGUGGCUUUAUCUUAGUUACUUAUGUUGAUCUAAAUGUUUGUUUCCUGUUGUCUACACCAUCCCUACCGAGGAAAGUGUUUUUCAACAGCCUGUGAGAGGGCUUUAGUUUUGUAUUUCCUGCGUUGUAUUAGUUGUAUGAUGCUCCCAGAGGACAAAAGAGAGAAAAUGAUGAAUGGAGUCAGUGUUGCACACUUGUGGGUACUGCAGCUGUAAUUGCUAGAUUUCUUUGCAUCUCCACAGCCUGAAGAAGAUGCAGUGGAUACUUGUUGGUGUGUGUGUUUUUUUUUAUUGGCUGUUUACCUGCAAAACCCAGCUUGAGUGUCUGGACCUGAAAUUUUGAUGCCAUUUUUUUGCUGCAAUUAUUCUGUCCUCCUUGAUAAUAUUAGAUUUGGUCAGAUAGAUAGAGACAGAUAUCGAGAUAUAUGUAAAACUGUUAAUUAUUUGCAUUGAGAUGUCAAAAACAAAUCACCCUCCAACGGACAUAUUGUCUUUUUUGACCUUUUUUUUUCAGAUUCCUAAUACUAUAAAAAAAAAUAAUAAAAUCUGCCCUCUUCAAGUAUGUAAGUAGGGAGGAACACCUCGGAAUAUAAAAUGCAUUAUACCCCCACCACUGCAAUGACCUCCAUAGUAAACACAUAACUGAAUUCAUACAUUUCUGACAAUGUCACAAUUGUGACACUGUCUGCAUUUCAUCGUUUUAUUGAAUAAAUCAAACUGACAACAGUUCACAGUUAGUUAUUAUGUGAUUUUCAGUACUUGGACCCCACUUCGCUGCAUAGGACUUUUUCAUAAACUAAAAAUAUAUUUCUAAAUAUUUAAGAGCAACCUGAAAAAGAUUUUUAUUUACUGAACUUUAUUUGGAUGCUCAAUUUAUUAGAAAUAAAGUAGCAUCCAACACAGUGGCAUCUACUCUUGAUGCAUGUGACUUACACCUAUAAAACAUAGUCAGCAUAAAUAUUACCUUAAAUCAAACACUUUUUCUCAUUAGUUCUAUCUCAAGCUGUGAAAUGAUAAUUUUAAAUCAUAGAUUACUUAAGGCAGAUUUGUACUGUGACUACUGUGCUAAGCUAAUUUGAAUCUUUUCUGUGCUAUGUGGUUCAGCUGCAAUGACCGCAGCAGACACUAGAGGUCCCUAUAAGACUGCAGAAGCAUUUAGCUCAUAUGUGGCCCUAUCUCCCUCCUCUUGUGAGCAACAUAACAACACAUUCCUAGUUUUACACAGUAAAGCUUCAUUCAUCAAUCAUUCCAUCCACAAAUCCAGCAAUCUCAGUAUUCAUCCAAUCACAUCAAAUACACAAAGUCUGCAUCAUCAACACAAUCUCAAAUCUGAUUUUAUCUUCCAAAUGUAUUUCCCUCACAUCAAAGUCUUCUUCCCAAACACCACUUUGGGUCCUGUCUUGGUCCCUCGUGGUUCUGCAGAGAUGAUCCAGAUGGCAGGAGCUUUCAUGAAGUCCCUGUCCAGCACCUUGUUCUCUUCUGCCCGGGCCAUUGCCUCCAGUUCAGGAGAGGUUUCUGGGGACCAAUCUGCCAUGAACUUAUCCUUGGCCUCACAAUAGUUCACCACCACUUCCUCUGGCUGCUCCCCGAACAGCCAGUCUGAAAAACAAAAAUACAGCCAAGAGGGUGGAAAGGAGAGAAAAGCACUGUCAGGAAGAAUAUUUACUAUCUUCCAAUUUACUUAUUCUGCUUUCUAGAAGCUAAAAGUAGAGCAACAAACCUGCACAGUCAUGGAUGAGGUCUUUGAUGAGGUGGCCGAUGAUGGCAUAAAGAACAGACAGCACGAUGAAGACGGCCAUGAUCAGGUAGAGGACGUAGGUAGGCAGGUGGAUAGCAUCCCGAGAAGGUGGGAUGUAGGAUUCAAAGAACACAGUGCCAUCGUCCUCCUUGAAACGAACGUUUAAACUGUCCUCUGGUGGAUCCAUCGCAGCCUCGUAGUCUCUGCUGUCAGCCAGUGAGUCCACUUAAUGUCUCAAUGUCAUCGCUGUAUUAAGAACGCAGCAUAAAGAUUUAAUCUUACAGCGCGUUCUCUGCAACGACAACACAAACAGAUCAGGGAGGAACACUGUAUUGUCCAACUUUAAAAGUAACACUGCAGUGCUCUUACAUAAGGCAACAGCAAAGCUACUCAAAGUUAAGCAACUAAAGUAUCAGUGAAUAAAAGACAUUUACAUACAAUUUAAUUUCCAGUCUUUUGGCUAAACACUACAAUAAGCAAGUCGGAUUUGAAUUAAACGUACAUUCAUAUAGCUAUAUCGCACCUUGAAGAGUUUUUCAUUUUGUUUCCCUGAACAAACUCCUUAUCUGUCUGUCUGUGGAGCUACGCAGAAGGAAAUUAGAUUAGCUGCAGCGGCUUGAGGUAGACUGCUCAAGGUCAGAAGAAUGACUGUGAGUACAGGAUCUCAAUGAAGUGGAGCAUUUACCUGCUACAUCUAUCUAUCUAUCUAUCUAUCUAUCUAUCUAUCUAUCUAUCUAUCUAUCUAUCUAUCUAUCUAUCUAUCUAUCUAUCUAUCUAUCUAUCUAUCUAUCUAUCUAUCUAUCUAUCUAUCUAUCUAUCUAUCUAUCUAUCUAUCUAUCUAUCUAUGUAUUUCAUGCUUACAUCAGCAUUGACCAGUAUUUAAAAUGGCUGUUGUACAAUAAUCCUUGGCAUUUAUAAAUAAGGUCAUUGCCGCUGACACAACCAGGUAUUAGAAGAAGGUAAGAUGGAUUAACGAAAGCAGACAAGACACAACAACACACUUGUAUGUUUCAGUUGUUUACUUGAGAGAAGCUUAGUCCAACACCAGAACAGGAAAACUGAUGUAUGUUUACUUCAGGAACACAUCAGCACGUCAUAUAAUGGGGACGGUUUCACUGGUCAGUGUGGAAAAUGCUUAAAAAGUCAGUUCAUACUUCAUAUUUUGCAACAUGUUCAGCCUGGUCUUAUACACAAAGUCAACAUUGCGUUCUCACAUAAACAUCUUUUUACAUAUUUCAUUUACAUUUUGUAGCUUGACAAACUGGGUAGCGAAUAUUAAGACAGUAGAAUAUAAUUAAUCUGGACCACGUUUACAUUUAAAAAGAGAUGAAAGAAAGUAUUUUCUUGUAAAAUCAGUACAAGCUAUACCUAUAGUAUCUGCUUUUACAUAAAACAAAGCUCUAUUACAGCAAAGAAAACACUGAUCACUGCACCGAAAUGAUAAAAACUGAUAUGAACUGCUGCUGUGACAAAGUGAUGAGAACUCAAAGGGAAGUGACGUAAGGGGCGGCGGGGCAGGCAAAGGUUACACUAUGGAUAGAUAUUCUUUUAUCUCCAGGGCAUGAUGGAGCAAUGGCGCUUCUCAGAGGAGGAGGAGUGAACGGACGGCCUUGGUGGAAACCCGGCAGCGGUCCGUCCUUUUCUUUCUCCAUCCUCAGCUUGUCAUUGUCCAGCUGCUUAGUGGGAUUGCUGAGGCACCGCUCUUCCUCUAUUUCUCCUCGUCCUCCCUCUGAGUCAUCCUCCACUGGUUUGGGCCCGAACAUCCAGUCUGGGAGGAGAAAACAACAAGCUUACGUUAAAUAGAGUCAUGUGUUUUCGUGGCUUCUCAGUGAGAGUUUUAAAGGGGCACUCCAGCAAGUCAAAAUGGUCGACAAAGCCUGUUUUACAAACUGGAGAAGUGGACAUUUACCAGUCCAUGGAGGCCUAAUUAUGGUGCAAUUGAGGUUACAUCUACAUCAAUACAUUUGCAUUUAUUUUAAAACACCAUUUUAAUUUGAAAUAAUUUCCAUUUCUUAGUAACUCCUAAAAUGCAUCAUAUGACCGUUCAUGGACUCUGGGCAUGUGAAUGUUGGUGUAAACGUGAAGCAGGAGGUCAUUUGUGUUGUUGUUGAAUAAUACAAUAAAGGAACAGCAAUGGUGAAAAGUAGGACCUGAGAUGUCCUUAAUUGCACAACUAGUUCCACAAUUAAAGUGUGAUGUGUCAGGUACAAAAUGUGUAGAUGAAUAUCUGUGCAAUUGUUUCCCAAAAGUCUGCAGCAACGGGAUUUUCAAAGUAAAACUGGGCCAGCAGUGCUUCCAAAAGUCUCACUUUCAGGCAUCCAAUAACACCAGAGUUGUAUAUGUGAGGUGUCACAAGUUAUGUGUUUUAAAUGUAAAAUGUAUUAUUGUGGAUGUAAUCUCAGUUGCAUCAUGGGAAAUGAAGGAUUCAGUGUCUUUAGAGCUUUACCAGUACUAACCAUCAGGCUUUAAUAUUACCAGUUCAUUUGUUUUCUGCAAGCUCCCCAGCUUAGUGGAAGUGCACUACUAAAUUGCCAAAGUGCCCCUUUAAGAUGUUAUUUUAGCAGCAGCCAAUUGCUCAGAAUUGCUCAGUUUUCUGGCAUUCACCUUAACGGAGUAACAAAGACACAGUUGGGAAGGAUUUCCUCUGUGCACAAACCACAGGGCGAACGUGAAGGAAACUGUCAUCAGACCACAAAGUCAGCCAAAAAGGUUAAAAAAGGAAAGUACAAAACACUGAUGCAGCCUGAGCUCAAAAGCUGAGGGACAGAAAGGAUUCAAAGCCACCACAGACAUGAAUGUUGGAGUGGACGGGUAAGUAAGAGAGGGGGCAUGAGUUUGGGAUGUUCCUGCUGGGAAUGUUACCUGCCAGGUCAUGCAUCAGGUCAUUAAUGAGGUGUCCCACUAUGGCGUAAGUGGCCACUACGACCAGCAUCACCCCCACUAGGACAUAGACUACACUGCGUGGCAGAGGAAUAGCAUCUCUCGCCGGGGGAAUGUAGUCCACAAAAUAGGCCUCCUCCUCCUUCCUUCUGGAGAACUGGAGGAGCUGUCGGUGCUCAAACACCAGCUGUGUGAGGUUCAAAAGCAGGGCUCCUCCUGAGGCGUUCAGGGACGCAACCUGUUGUUGGCUCAUAGUUUGGCUGCUUUGUCUGUUUAAAGAAUGUGUGGAAGCUCCGAGGCUGUUUCUUUGGGUGAUUUAUUGCCUUGCUGCAGAUCCCAGCUUCUUCAGUGCACUGUGAACAUUUGGAAAGCAGGUGAUGCGCCAGAGAGGAGGAGGGAGAGGAACUGAGCAUUAGAAGAUUUGGAACAUUUUCUUGAAGCUGGGAAGAGUGACAGAGUUGAGUGACAGGUGGAAAUGUUACCGUGGUUUUAUAAUAUGAACGCUGUCUUUCAGUAGUGACAGUUUUCGGUCACAAAGUGGCUCCACAGAAAAAAAAUGUAGUUCACCAGACAAGUGAUACUAUAUGUGUGUCAAUUCUGCUAAUCUUUCGUCUAGACUUAAAUCCCAGCAUUCCUCCUUGUAGUCUUUCACACAGGGGUCCUCGGUCAUAUUUCCAGGAGAGCGAAGAGUGUGAGACAGAGGAGAGGUGAAUAUAGGACAGACAGAGUUAAUAGGAUUGAGUCUGUCAUAGAGCAAUAUCAGCUUUCCAUCUGCAGGGAUUAGAGAUAUGAGCGAGGAGAGGUGGACAGUAAUACCCUAAAGAGGCUUACGGUCGUCCAUGGCCAUGUUGCAUAUAGAUAUGAAAUGAUACAUAUAUUACAGUGAAACCGCUUCCUCAUGGGUUUAAACUGGCAUCAUGUUACAGAUAUGCCAUAUUUUAAAUUCAUCUUAGGCACAGCAGGUCCACUACUUAUAUUCUAUAAAUAUCUUGUCACAUAAUUCACUGAUACUAUAUUUUCACGGCUCAUUUCUUGCUUCAUUGCAGAGCAGAUGGUAAUAUUUCAAAACACAAUCUGAUGGAUAAAUAUUCCUAUGCGUAGAAAAAGUGUACAUCAACUUACAUGAAGUAAAUGACAAAGAACAAAACACCAAUUAUCUUUCUAAAAGAAGAAACAUGACAAAAUGCUAAACAUGAAAAGAGAUAAAUGGGGAAAAAUUAAAGAAAAACAAAACUCACCUGAAGUCAAAACAUGAAAUUUCUCUGUAGCUCUUCUCUUCUGGAUGAAAGGACUUCCAAACUGGUGUGUAUUGUAUGGAGACGGUUCUGGAAAUAACCACAAAGACACAGCAGAGAGUUAAGAUCAUGUAAACAAAAGGGCUUCUGUAUUUGCUGCUGUAUCACAGCAAACCACAAAACCCCACCAUCAUUGUUUCUCUCUGCAAGUGGGCAGGCAAGCAGUGAUCCAAAAACGUAUUUUUAUCCUCUCAGGUCUUCUUGGUGCAGCAUCAGGACGCAGAUGAUUUCCUCUAGGACUGAGGCUCAUUUUCUUUUUGUGUCUGUAGUCUGAUGAACUGAGAGAUGAUAAACUGCCAUUCAAUGAUGGUGACGGCUACGUUUGCAAAGAGAAUGAACCAGGAGACCGGGUGCAGGCCGUAGUAGAAGGUAUGCAUGAUGAGAUGUUGAAAAAAGACGCAAAAGGAUAAGGAGUGACAAUCAAAUCUUCUGGCAAAGGAGAGGCAGACAAGACGAGGUGAAAAAGCAAUGUCAAGUGUCUGAAUGUGUCUCACGAUGAGCCUGUCAGGGGAGUAACGCCGCCUGCGUCAGUAUCAAGGUGUUCCUUAGUAAUCCAGGAUUUAGUUGACACUGUCACCAGCAGCAGCUUUUCACCGAGUCAGCAGACAGUAAAACUGAAGAUGGAGUUCAUUUAACAUCAUUUAGCUAAAGAAUCUGGUGGUAGAUUUACACUGCCAGCAAUAACCAGAACUAUAGAACAAUUCACAAAUAACAAAAAUAAACACAAUUAAUUGUAUUUUCUUGUGCUAAAGUUUUAGAUAAUCUCCCAGCAUUACCUGUAAGAGGGACUUCUUCCUCAUUUACUUGCAGGAUUCACUUAGAUUAGUAUUUUAUUAAGUUAAGGUGGAUUUCCAAGUCUUCUCCAAGUAAAAAAAAAGAAAGAAAAAUAAAAAGCAGGGUGAAUGUAAAUGCGACCCCACAGUAAGCACUAGAAGCUGAACUGCUCUUGCAGACUAGUCCUAAGCGAAAUAACUUCCAGUCAUUCAGUCAGCUAGAUCCAUAUCGACUCCGACUGCCUCAGGCCGGGGUGACCACCUUUUUGGGUUUGUCUUCUGGCUCCAUUAUCCACUUGAAGUAGACAUCGCUCAAGAUGAAGCCCCAGUAGACGACGGUUAGGGAGGUGUUGACGGUCAUGAUGGCGAUAAUUAAAGGGUGCAGCAUGGUGGCGGACUGGGUGGACUCUUGAAAAUCUGUGUUGCCUUCAAAAAAAAAACAGUAUCUGCUGUUUGGGUGAAGGAUUGUCUACUAGUAGAAUCACCUCUCUGCCUGCUUCUACUGUCCUCGUGGACUCCCCACCCCUCUCCACUCUCUCUUUCUACUGGUCACUAAGUUUCUGUGGCAACAGCAGCAUAAUCCUCUUCAGCAGCUUUGUUACAGAAGAUAAAGUUGCAUUAGAUGUAAACCUGCUUUACAAAUGUUAUUCAUCCAUAAGAUGUUGUUGCGUAAUGUACAUAUUUAUUCCUGCAUACAAAAGACUGGUAUAAAACAAUACUUUGAUAUGGAAACUGUACAGUAAGUGCAACAAUGAUUACACCCUGACUGAAAAAACAUAAUCUUUGUAGUG